RNAcentral lists this transfer RNA (73 nucleotides) under Camelus ferus (Wild Bactrian camel). It matches the Rfam family "tRNA". From Rfam's summary of the family: Transfer RNA (tRNA) molecules are approximately 80 nucleotides in length. Their secondary structure includes four short double-helical elements and three loops (D, anti-codon, and T loops). The record is from Rfam by way of RNAcentral. Lineage: Eukaryota; Metazoa; Chordata; Mammalia; Artiodactyla; Camelidae.
GAGGGUGUAGCUCAAGCGGUAGAGGGCUUGUUUAGCAGGCAUGAGGUCCUGGGUUCAACUCUCGGCACCUCCU